UACAGAGGUCUCGAGCGUUAGGCGGAAUCACUGGGCUUAAAGCGUGUGUAGGCGGAUCGUUAAGUGCCUUGUGAAAUCCCACGGCUCAACCGUGGAACUGCUUGGCAUACUGGCGGUCUUGAGCAACCUAGGGGCGAGCGGAACAAACGGUGGAGCGGUGAAAUGCGUAGAUAUCGUUUGGAACGCCAAUGGUGAAAACAGGUUGCUGGGAGUGUGCUGACGCUGAGACACGAAAGCCAGGGGAGCGAACGGG
Molecule: ribosomal RNA, 253 nt
Filed under: uncultured bacterium
Lineage: Bacteria
Description: partial 16S ribosomal RNA
Rfam family: Bacterial small subunit ribosomal RNA
Source: RNAcentral